UGCGGAAAAUCUGGCCCCCGAGCGUGGGGCUUCCGGUGAUCCAUCUUGGGAACCACUGAGCGAUGAACUUGCUAAAUGGUUUCCGCUGGAGACCUGCUCAGCUUACACUCAGCUGCAAACGGUGGCAGACUCACUGCUGCUGGAAAGCCGAUGGCGCAAAUGGUGGUGGUGAUGCCGAGGUCUUGUUGCAGUGAACACGCCCUGCAGCAGAUGCCUGGGUUGGCAGCUCCUGGGUCUGCUGAACUCACAUUGCUGACACUCCCUGAGUGUUCCAGAGGCACAUCUGUUCACUUUGAUGCUCCGGAUUGGAUGUCGUCACGUCUUUCUAAGUAGUUCUUGACCUUGGAUUUUCAUUAGAGUUAUCUGAGGAGACUUUCAAAAUUGCGAUGCCCAGAUCACACGUUGGAACAAUUACAACGAUCUCUGGGAGCGGGAUGAGGCGUCAGUACUUUGUAAAAAUUGCCCAGGUGAUCCCAAUGUGCGGGCGUGGUGGAGACUCGCUGUGUGAGAACAGCGCGUCUCAAACUUUCCUGCGUAUGUGAAUCACUGGGGAUUUUGCUAAAACGCAGAUUCUGAUUCAGUAGGGCUGCAGUGGAACCACGGAAUCUGCGUGUCUGACAGGCUCCCGGAGGAUGCUGCUGCGGGUUCCAGGACCACAGUUUGUGGAGCAAGACUUUGAGGGCUCAGCCGUCUGGCUCUGCUCUCAGAAGCUACAAGUCCAUGAGAAACUCGGGCUGCGGACAUCCAUCUGGGGACUUCGCUGCCCACCCUCAUCAGUAGAAUGAGACUGGAAAGUGUGGGUACCCUCGAGAGGCUAAUAAUCUGGACCCUUUUCAAAUGGAUAGUCUUUAAAUAUUUGUUCAACAGUUUUAGUGGGGGUGGCACUGGUACUGGCAAGGAUUUAAAAAAAUUGUGACUUGAAUGUUCUGUCUGCCUCAAGGAGUGUGGGCAUUUGCCACUUUUAGAGCUAGACAGCAUCUGAAGCUCCUUCUUGUGCUUUGGGAACCACCCACUGUGCAUCUCACUAGGUGGCCCUAUUGCCAUUCAUGGAAGCUGACGUGGCCAGAUGAUCUCCUGCCCCAGGAAGGUUAGAAAAAUAUGGCCAAUGAUAUUUCCCUGGUUGUUCGUCGCUGACGGCCUUGUCAGCUGGCAUCACCUCAGGCCUGCGGACUAUGCAGGAGCCACUGCUGCUUGGAGACGACAGAGGAAGGGGUCAGUGGCUCACCGUUGACUGGCUGGGAGCUGGGACCCUAAAAUCUCUCCCCUCGCCACCUCCUCUUCCGUCACCGAAGAAUCAACAUUAGUUUCAUCUUUGCAGCUACCAGGCCUCUCACCUUUCCACUUCCUUCCAUGCGGCUUUUCCUCCCCCACUUCCUUUUUAUAUGAUUUUGACUAAGAUGGAAGAAAAUAAGAAAGAAUAUAACAGUGACCAACUCUGGAAUUUUACCUAGCAUGGUUUCUUUCUUUCUUUCUUUUUUUUUUUUUCUCUUAAUGAUGUCAGUUUCCUCCUCUACAAAAAGAAGUUUGGAUGGAGUGAUCUCACUGGUCCCUUCAGGCUUUUGAGGCCCUUCCUCUGACUCACCAGCCCCAGCCUCCUGUGCACAUCCUGGAACCUGGUGGGGAGAUGUGUCCGUACCUAAAGCAACUUCCAGUGUUAAUCCUCCACAGUCUCCUGAAUGAGUCAGCGAAACAGCAAGAGAGGAGGACAUGAGUCUGUGGAGGCCCCACGAAGGCCACUUUCCAAAGCAUGACACGUGGAAGGAAUCCCAUUAAACCAUGGUCUUCUUCAGAAUCAGCAGGGAGCCCCAGAGAGUCUCGCUUAGUAAGUCUGGGGUUCAGCUCCAAAAUGUGCAUUUCUAACCCGUAGCCCAAACUUAUUCUGAUGCAGGUAGCCCAAGAACCAAACUUCAAGAGACACAGGUAUAGACCAGAGUUACGUAACCUGGGCACCAUCGGCAUUUGGGCUGGAUGAUUCUUAGUUGUGGGGGGCUGCCCUCUGCAUUGUAGGAUGUUCAACAGCAUCCCUGGCCUCUGCCCACUAGAUGCCAGGAGCAGCCCACACUCCCCAAUUGAUACAAUCAAAAAUGUCUCCAGACCCCGUCAUUUGUCCCCUGGGGAGUAAAAUUGCCUCUGACUGAGAACUGCUGCCACAGAUAGAGCUUCUUCUUGGGACCUGCAAUCACACAUUUUGAUCAACACAAACAGGUUGCUAGAAGAGAAGGGUUCAUGUCGUCAGCUGAGGCAAAGAUACCUCCAAUGGAAGCCAACCCAUGUGAUGGGCAUGUCUUUGGUCCUGGCAACAGCCUGUGGAAGAGAGGCAGGGCCCUUGGAGAAUCCCUCUGGCAGGACUGAAUACAGCACUGCCUAACUCCCACACUCGGGGGACAGGGUGGUCCACCAGCUUCCCCAGACUUCCGAGAGACCAUUUGGACAUCAUGAGCUCUCGCAUCCACCAGGCUCCUCGGUCACUUUGGGAAGUCAGCUCCCCAGUAGCAAAUGUCUGUCUAGCACUUGCUGUGUGCCAAGCACUGGGCUGAGUGCUUUGCAUACAUUACCAUUGCUGAUCUUCCCAGCAGCCUUAUGAUGCAGCUUCUAAUAUCAUCCCUAUUAAACAAAUAAGAAAAGUGUGUCAAAUAGCGCGUCCAAGUGGUCAGCCCUGGAUUUAAGCUCAGACAUCCUGACUCCAGAGUCUGCGUUGUAACCCACUGUGCUGUACACAUGUGUGCCUGUCUCUCCCCAUUUCCUGAAAAAUACCCAUCUUGUCUAAACACCAGGGAAACAGGAUUUUCGGUGAAAACAUAUUAUAAUAAAAAUUAAGGAUGCUUUUUGAACUAAGCCUUCCUGACUGGAGACCAGGAUACAUCAACCUGGGUAGCAUUCUGCUCCCUGGGGAGCAGCAUAGGCAUGAAUCCUACCCAGGGCAUGUAACCAGGCACCUCCUUUUGUCCAUGUUCCUGACUGUUUGAAAGGUUUUGGAAUGUCAGCGAGUGGAGAGGAGCAGCGGGGGAGGAGGAGGUGACGUGCAAGAGGACAUUGAGAGGGGUUCAGGACAUCUGCAUGCAUCUACCUUCCCCACUGGGAGGUUUUAGGCAAAGUUCUCUGUGAAUUUUUACAAACACCACCAGCAAACCCCUGCGGAAUAGUAGGAACUUUGGGUUGGAUGGCACUGUGAGGAUUCCCACCGUGCCUGGCUUUAUUCUCUAAAGACGAGCAGGGGAUGAGCAAAGCCAUCAUUUAGAAUGGUGAUUGCAUCUGCGUAUGAGCAUAUUGCUACAGUAGUUCAAAACCCUUAAUUUAUAUGUCGACUGCAAAUAGGAAAAAGCAAGGGGAAGUGGAAGAGGAGAUAAGCGUGACUUCAGAGCGCCAGUGAGCUGGAAUGCCUUGCAAGGUGCUGCCAAACUGUGAUCAGUGUCAAGUUUACUGUCUUGUAGCUGAAGAUCACUUGAGUAGACAGUGUUAGAAAAGCAGGACGGUGGGUGGAGCAGGUCCUGUGCUGUGGGAGGGACAGGGUACAAAUUGGUAUAGAGAGAGGCAGGCGGCAUCAUUAAGGGCAAGCCAGUGGCGUGGAGAGUUGGUGUGUUUAGUGACAGGAAAGGAUUUGCCUUGUCUGUACAUAAAAAAGAGUGAGGUCAAGGCACAAACAGGUGUGUUCAAAUAGCAGCCCCACUGUUGAAGGGGUCCAUGGUGAUUUUUGAAGAAAAAAAAAAUUCUAAGUUGUUUGUCCAGUGGGACUUUUCUUGCAAGUGACAGAGACUCAAUUUAAACUGAUUUAAGCAAAACACAAAACAAAGCAGAAAACAAACAAAUGCAUAUAUGUGUGGAGAGGGAGGGUCAUUAAUUAACCCAAUGGAAAAUUCCAGAAGCUCAAAUGAUGUCAAUAGUGCUUUGUUUUUCUUUGUCUUUUGAUAUCACCUUCUUCUGUUGGGCACUCUCAUUGACAGAUUUUCUCUGCAUGACAGCCCCCAAGCGUGUCUAGAUUCAAGUCCAGUAGAAAGAGAAGUCUUGUCUUUGUCACUGGUCCAAGCUAAAGUUCCCUAUUUUAGUCUCAUUGGCCAGUCCUGGGUUCCAUGCUUUCCUUGAAUGAGGGGUUUAGGUCAGGCCCACCCAAACCACAUGGUCUGAGAAUAAGGGAGGGGCCUCACUCUGAGGGGGAGACGCCUCAUGGGUUCAUGAUGGAUUCAGAUGGGCUACUUGAUCUUUCCCACUCCAGGUUGAACAGUGAUCUACAGUCCUAAGCUUGCUGAUCCUGUGGUCACACAAAGUAUUCCUACCGUUAAAUUUCCUUCCUGUUCUGUAAUAAGCUUGGGCUGGCAAUUUGAUUUUAUUGACGGUCACAUCCCAAGUGAUGAUUUUUGAUUUACAAAAAAGUAAACUCCAGGAUUGGAUUUACUGAUAAAUAUCAUAUAAAGUCAUAGAGAUGAACACGAUACAGCACUUUUCUUUUCUUUUUUAAUGUGAAAACCUCUUAAAGGGGGGGCCAGAUCUUUGUGUCUCUCCCAAGUCUCCCAUCACCGUACCCAGUGGCUCCCGCAAUCUCUUGUAGCACAAGCCAACUCACACAAUCCUCAGCCACAGGAGCUCUGCCACCCUGCAGUGAGGCCACCGGACAGAGGAGGGGAGGGGAGGUGGGCACACACAAAAGUAAUUUAUUUAAGAGUGGUCACAACCACAGCUAUGGUGACAGCCGGUUUGCAGUCCUGGAAGCCUCUGAAAGGCUCAGUACAUCCUUCCCUCUUUGGGUUUUACAGUCUUGGACUAUCUUCUUAUGAUCCAAUCUUGGGUCCAAAGCCCCUUUUGGACCUUGUUUUGGCAAGUCAGCGAGACCACAUGCUGCUGUGCCCCAACUUCCCAUUUAUCUAAUUGGGGUCUGACUUUUCCCUCAUCAGAUGAUUCACACAGGGGUGUG
RNAcentral lists this long non-coding RNA (4906 nucleotides) under Equus caballus (horse). RNAcentral's name for it is "lncRNA (ENSECAG00000044738.1)". Lineage: Eukaryota; Metazoa; Chordata; Mammalia; Perissodactyla; Equidae. The record is from RNAcentral.